UACAGAGGGGGCAAGCGUUGUUCGGAAUUACUGGGCGUAAAGGGCGCAUAGGCGGCCUGUUAAGUCGAACGUGAAAUCCCCGGGCUCAACCCGGGAACUGCGUCCGAUACUGGCAGGCUUGAAUCCGGGAGAGGGAUGCGGAAUUCCAGGUGUAGCGGUGAAAUGCGUAGAUAUCUGGAGGAACACCGGUGGCGAAGGCGGCAUCCUGGACCGGUAUUGACGCUGAGGCGCGAAAGCCAGGGGAGCAAACGGG
Molecule: ribosomal RNA, 253 nt
Filed under: uncultured bacterium
Lineage: Bacteria
Description: partial 16S ribosomal RNA
Rfam family: Bacterial small subunit ribosomal RNA
Source: RNAcentral